GAAGGUACCUGGCAGGGGAGAUACCCAGGGCGAGGCUCGUCCGUUGCGCUUGGGAUGUGCUGACCCCUGCGAUGUCUCCAAACGUAGGACAACUGCAUGACUUGUGGCAGUGGGGGCUACGUUCACACUCCUC
Molecule: small nuclear RNA, 133 nt
Filed under: Ochotona princeps (American pika)
Lineage: Eukaryota; Metazoa; Chordata; Mammalia; Lagomorpha; Ochotonidae
Description: U1 spliceosomal RNA (ENSOPRG00000022663.1)
Rfam family: U1 spliceosomal RNA
About the family: U1 is a small nuclear RNA (snRNA) component of the spliceosome (involved in pre-mRNA splicing). Its 5' end forms complementary base pairs with the 5' splice junction, thus defining the 5' donor site of an intron.
Source: RNAcentral